This is an RNA transcript of Bombina bombina (fire-bellied toad), 1384 nucleotides long. It is a transcript of the gene named heterogeneous nuclear ribonucleoprotein D like, with no coding region annotated. NCBI's taxonomy places the organism in Eukaryota, Metazoa, Chordata, Amphibia, Anura, Bombinatoridae. The transcript is spliced from 9 exons. The record is from RefSeq and is a predicted model, not a curated record.
CGCAGAUCUUUUCCGUUGUAGUGUUCGGAGAGGUGUUUUGUGUGUAGACGUUUGUUUGUUUUCUUUUUAUCGUCGCAAUGGCCGGCUAUAACAACGUGGAAGAUUAUUCCGAGGGCUCCAAGAUUAACGCAAGCAAAAAUCAGCAGGAUGAGGGGAAAAUGUUUAUUGGAGGUCUGAGCUGGGAUACAAGUAAGAAAGACCUUACAGAAUACUUGACUCGUUUUGGUGAAGUGGUUGAUUGUACAAUUAAGACUGACCCAUUGACAGGGCGUUCCAGAGGGUUUGGAUUUGUCCUUUUUAAAGAGGCAGUGAGUGUAGACAAAGUAUUAGAAACAAAGGAACAUAAACUUGAUGGCAAGCUUAUAGAUCCAAAAAGAGCAAAAGCACUGAAGGGGAAAGAGCCUCCAAAAAAAGUGUUUGUUGGUGGUCUUAGCCAAGAUACUACAGAGGAACAGAUCAAGGAAUAUUUUGGAGCGUUUGGAGAGAUUGAAAACAUUGAGUUGCCCAUUGAUACAAAGACUAAUGAAAGGAGGGGUUUUUGCUUCAUUACAUACGCAGAUGAAGAUCCAGUUAAAAAACUCUUAGAGAGUAGAUUUCAUCAGAUUGGUUCAGGAAAGUGUGAAAUAAAAGUUGCGCAGCCCAAAGAAGUUUACAGACAGCAGCAGCAACAAAGAGGUGGAGGUGGUGGUGCAGGAGGAAGAGGUGCACCAUCUGGCAGAGGAGGCUCCAGAGGCAGAGGUCAAGGUCAGAAUUGGAAUCAAGGGUACAACAACUACUAUGAUCAAGGCUACAACAAUUACAGCGGCUCUUACAAUGAUCAAGGCUACAAUAACUAUGGUGGCUAUGAUUAUCCUAGCUACAACUAUGGAAGUUAUGGAGGAUACAAUCAGGGAUACACAGAUUAUAGUGGUCAGCAGAGCACAUAUGGCAAAGCAAGAGGAGGAGGAAACCAUCAAAACAACUAUCAACCAUACUAAUGGAUCUUUAAGCGGGAACUUCAUUGCAGGCCGUGUGUCACCCUGACCACGUCUAUCUCUGGUGUCGCACGUUGUGGGCAGAGCGCAAGGCAUACACCUGAAAUCGCUGUCCUGUGGCAGAAAUGGAUAAGGAGUAAACAAUCACAUUCGUCCAUGCAGGAAGGGUCCUCUUUGAAAUACUCUUCAGUGCGAGGGCUUGCAUUUGAAAACAAGACAUUUGUCUUGUUGUGUAUAUAGUACUGGCUUUUUUUAUUGGGUUUUAUUUUAAACUUUUUUUUUUUUUUUCUGUGUAAAUGCAGAAGUUUUAUGUUCUACAAAAUGUGUUAAUGUGUAUAAAUGCUCGUGACUCGGUGCAUUAAUGAUGGAAUAUUUGUAAUAAAAAAAAUGGGAAAUUUUUUUUCUCUGUA